This 253-nucleotide ribosomal RNA is filed under the name uncultured bacterium. RNAcentral's name for it is "partial 16S ribosomal RNA". It matches the Rfam family "Bacterial small subunit ribosomal RNA", at positions 524 to 776 of the family's 1533-position model. The record is from RNAcentral.
UACGUAGGGGGCAAGCGUUGUCCGGAAUCAUUGGGCGUAAAGAGCGUGUAGGCGGCCCGAUAAGUCCGUUGUGAAAGUCCAGGGCUCAACCCUGGAAUGCCGGUGGAUACUGUCGGGCUCGAAUCCGGAAGAGGUGAGUGGAAUUCCUGGUGUAGCGGUGAAAUGCGCAGAUAUCAGGAGGAACACCAAUGGCGAAGGCAGCUCACUGGGACGGUAUUGACGCUGAGACGCGAAAGCGUGGGGAGCAAACAGG